AACGAACGCUGGCGGCAUGCCUAACACAUGCAAGUCGAACGAGAUCUUCGGGUCUAGUGGCGCACGGGUGCGUAACGCGUGGGAAUCUGCCCUUUGGUUCGGAAUAACAGUUGGAAACGACUGCUAAUACCGGAUGAUGACGAAAGUCCAAAGAUUUAUCGCCAGAGGAUGAGCCCGCGUAGGAUUAGCUAGUUGGUGUGGUAAAGGCGCACCAAGGCGACGAUCCUUAGCUGGUCUGAGAGGAUGACCAGCCACACUGGGACUGAGACACGGCCCAGACUCCUACGGGAGGCAGCAGUGGGGAAUAUUGGACAAUGGGCGAAAGCCUGAUCCAGCAAUGCCGCGUGAGUGAUGAAGGCCUUAGGGUUGUAAAGCUCUUUUACCCGGGAUGAUAAUGACAGUACCGGGAGAAUAAGCUCCGGCUAACUCCGUGCCAGCAGCCGCGGUAA
Molecule: ribosomal RNA, 449 nt
Filed under: uncultured bacterium
Lineage: Bacteria
Description: partial 16S ribosomal RNA
Rfam family: Bacterial small subunit ribosomal RNA
Source: RNAcentral